CCUACGGGCGGCAGCAGUGGGGAAUAUUGCACAAUGGGGGAAACCCUGAUGCAGCAACGCCGCGUGAAGGAAGACGGUUUUCGGAUUGUAAACUUCUGUUCUUAGGGAAGAAGAAUGACGGGAGCGAAGGAGCAAGCAACGGCUAACUACGUGCCAGCAGCCGCGGUAAUACGGAGGUGGCAAGCGUUGUCCGGAAUUACUGGGGGUACAGGGAGCGCAGGCGGGAAGCCAAGUCAGCGGGGCAAACUACGGGCUUAACUUGUAGACUGCAGUUGAAACUGGUUUUCUUGAGUGAAGUAGAGGUUGGCUGAAUUCCGAGUGUAGCGGUGCAAUGCGUCGAUAUUCGGCGGAACACCGGUGGCGUAGGCGGCCCACUGGGCUUUAACUGACGCUGCGGCUCGAAAGUGUGGGGAGCAAACAGGAUUAGCUCCCCCUGUAGUC
RNAcentral lists this ribosomal RNA (441 nucleotides) under uncultured bacterium. RNAcentral describes it as "partial 16S ribosomal RNA". It matches the Rfam family "Bacterial small subunit ribosomal RNA", at positions 338 to 795 of the family's 1533-position model. The record is from RNAcentral.